Molecule: ribosomal RNA, 445 nt
Filed under: uncultured bacterium
Lineage: Bacteria
Description: bacterial SSU rRNA
Rfam family: Bacterial small subunit ribosomal RNA
Source: RNAcentral
UAGGGAAUCUUCCGCAAUGGGCGAAAGCCUGACGGAGCAACGCCGCGUGAGUGAAGAAGGUCUUCGGAUCGUAAAACUCUGUUAUUAGGGAAGAACAAAUGUGUAAGUAACUAUGCACGUCUUGACGGUACCUAAUCAGAAAGCCACGGCUAACUACGUGCCAGCAGCCGCGGUAAUACGUAGGUGGCAAGCGUUAUCCGGAAUUAUUGGGCGUAAAGCGCGCGUAGGCGGUUUUUUAAGUCUGAUGUGAAAGCCCACGGCUCAACCGUGGAGGGUCAUUGGAAACUGGAAAACUUGAGUGCAGAAGAGGAAAGUGGAAUUCCAUGUGUAGCGGUGAAAUGCGCAGAGAUAUGGAGGAACACCAGUGGCGAAGGCGACUUUCUGGUCUGUAACUGACGCUGAUGUGCGAAAGCGUGGGGAUCAAACAGGAUUAGAUACCCUGGUA